Molecule: ribosomal RNA, 2920 nt
Filed under: Pseudomonadales bacterium
Lineage: Bacteria; Pseudomonadati; Pseudomonadota; Gammaproteobacteria; Pseudomonadales
Description: 23S ribosomal RNA
Rfam family: Bacterial large subunit ribosomal RNA
Source: RNAcentral
GUUAUAUGGUCAAGUGAACAAGCGCACAGGGUGGAUGCCUUGGCAGCUGGAGGCGAUGAAGGACGUGGAAGCCUGCGAUAAGCUUCGGGGAGCUGGCAAACAAGCUUUGAUCCGGAGAUGUCCGAAUGGGGAAACCCACUCAGGAAAACCUGAGUAUCGCACACUGAAUCCAUAGGUGUGCGAGGCGAACCCGGGGAACUGAAACAUCUAAGUACCCGGAGGAAAAGAAAUCAACCGAGAUUCCCUUAGUAGCGGCGAGCGAACGGGGAUUAGCCCUUAAGUUGGCAUUGUUCUAGUGGAACCCUCUGGAAAGUGGGGCCAUAGCGGGUGACAGCCCCGUACACGAAAGGGCAUUGCCGAUGAAAACGAGUAGGUCGGGACACGUGGUAUCCUGAUUGAAGAUGGGGGGACCAUCCUCCAAGGCUAAAUACUCCCAGCUGACCGAUAGUGAACCAGUACCGUGAGGGAAAGGCGAAAAGAACCCCGGAGAGGGGAGUGAAAUAGACCCUGAAACCCUGUGCGUACAAGCAGUGGGAGCCUGUCUGCGGACGGGUGACUGCGUACCUUUUGUAUAAUGGGUCAGCGAGUUAUUCUCAGUGGCGAGGUUAACCGUAUAGGGGAGGCGUAGCGAAAGCGAGUCUUAAUAGGGCGUUAGUCGCUGGGAAUAGACCCGAAACCGGGCGAUCUAUCCAUGGGCAGGUUGAAGGUUGGGUAACACCGACUGGAGGCCCGAACCGAAAUCUGUUGAAAAAGAUUCGGAUGAGUUGUGGAUCGGAGUGAAAGGCUAAUCAAGCUCGGAGAUAGCUGGUUCUCCUCGAAAGCUAUUUAGGUAGCGCCUCAUGUAUCACUGCUGGGGGUAGAGCACUGUUUCGGCUAGGGGGUCAUCCCGACUUACCAAACCGAUGCAAACUCCGAAUACCAGGAAGUGUCAGCGAGGGAGACAGACGGCGGGUGCUAACGUCCGUCGUCAAAAGGGAAACAACCCAGACCGCCAGCUAAGGUCCCCAAGUGACAGUUAAGUGGGAAACGAUGUGGGAAGGCACAGACAGCCAGGAGGUUGGCUUAGAAGCAGCCAUCCUUUAAAGAAAGCGUAAUAGCUCACUGGUCGAGUCGGCCUGCGCGGAAGAUAUAACGGGGCUCAAACUGUCCACCGAAGCUGCGGACUUGGCAUUGCCAAGUGGUAGAGGAGCGUUCUGUAGGCCGAUGAAGGUGAGUCGAGAGGCUUGCUGGAGGUAUCAGAAGUGCGAAUGCUGACAUGAGUAACGACAAAGGGGGUGAAAAACCCCCUCGCCGAAAGACCAAGGGUUCCUGUCCAACGUUAAUCGGGGCAGGGUGAGUCGGAUCCUAAGGUGAGGCCGAAAGGCGUAAUCGAUGGCAAACAGGUUAAUAUUCCUGUACCGCUCGUUGCUGCGAUGGAGUGACGGAGAAGGCUAGGCCAGCCUGGCGUUGGUAGUCCAGGUUUAAGCGAGUAGGGAGUGUGCUUAGGCAAAUCCGGGCGCACAAUCCUGAGACGUGAUGACGAUCCCUCCACGGAGGGAGAAGUGGUUGAUGCCCUGCUUCCAGGAAAAACUUCUAAGCUUCAGGCAACGAGAGGCCGUACCCCAAACCGACACAGGUGGUCGGGUAGAGAAUACCAAGGCGCUUGAGAGAACUCGGGUGAAGGAACUAGGCAAAAUGGUACCGUAACUUCGGGAGAAGGUACGCCGCUUUGAUGGUGAAGUCCCUUGCGGAUGGAGCUGAGGAGGUCGCAGAUACCAGGUGGCUGCGACUGUUUAUUAAAAACACAGCACUCUGCAAACUCGUAAGAGGACGUAUAGGGUGUGACGCCUGCCCGGUGCCGGAAGGUUAAUUGAUGGGGUUAGCGUAAGCGAAGCUCUUGAUCGAAGCCCCGGUAAACGGCGGCCGUAACUAUAACGGUCCUAAGGUAGCGAAAUUCCUUGUCGGGUAAGUUCCGACCUGCACGAAUGGCGUAACGAUGGCCACACUGUCUCCACCCGAGACUCAGUGAAAUUGAAAUCGCUGUGAAGAUGCAGUGUACCCGCGGCAAGACGGAAAGACCCCGUGAACCUUUACUAUAGCUUUACACUGGACUUUGACCUGACUUGUGUAGGAUAGGUGGGAGGCUUUGAAGCCGGGACGCCAGUUCUGGUGGAGCCAACCUUGAAAUACCACCCUGGUCAUGUCGGGGUUCUAACCUGGGCCCGUAAUCCGGGUCGAGGACAGUGUCUGGUGGGUAGUUUGACUGGGGCGGUCUCCUCCCAAAGAGUAACGGAGGAGCGCGAAGGUGGGCUAAGCAUGGUCGGACAUCAUGCGGUUAGUGCAAAGGCAUAAGCCCGCUUAACUGCGAGACGGACAAGUCGAGCAGGUGCGAAAGCAGGUCUUAGUGAUCCGGUGGUUCUGUAUGGAAGGGCCAUCGCUCAACGGAUAAAAGGUACUCCGGGGAUAACAGGCUGAUACCGCCCAAGAGUUCAUAUCGACGGCGGUGUUUGGCACCUCGAUGUCGGCUCAUCACAUCCUGGGGCUGUAGCCGGUCCCAAGGGUAUGGCUGUUCGCCAUUUAAAGUGGUACGCGAGCUGGGUUUAGAACGUCGUGAGACAGUUCGGUCCCUAUCUGUCGUGGGCGUUGGAGAUUUGAGGGGAGCUGCUCCUAGUACGAGAGGACCGGAGUGGACGUUCCUCUGGUGUUCCGGUUGUCACGCCAGUGGCAUUGCCGGGUAGCUAUGUACGGACGGGAUAACCGCUGAAAGCAUCUAAGCGGGAAGCCCACCCCAAGAUGAGAUCUCCCUGGAGCCGUGAGCUCCCUGAAGGGCCCUGGAAGACCACCAGGUUGAUAGGCGGGGUGUGUAAGCGCUGUGAGGCGUUGAGCUAACCCGUACUAAUUGCCCGUGAGGCUUGACCAUAUAACACCCAAGAAGUCUGGG